RNAcentral lists this ribosomal RNA (503 nucleotides) under uncultured bacterium. RNAcentral describes it as "partial 16S ribosomal RNA". It matches the Rfam family "Bacterial small subunit ribosomal RNA", at positions 30 to 523 of the family's 1533-position model. The record is from RNAcentral.
AUUGAACGCUGGCGGCAGGCUUAACACAUGCAAGUCGAGCGGAGUGAUGGUGCUUGCACUAUCACUUAGCGGCGGACGGGUGAGUAAUGCUUAGGAAUCUGCCUAUUAGUGGGGGACAACAUCUCGAAAGGGAUGCUAAUACCGCAUACGUCCUACGGGAGAAAGCAGGGGAUCACUUGUGACCUUGCGCUAAUAGAUGAGCCUAAGUCGGAUUAGCUAGUUGGUGGGGUAAAGGCCUACCAAGGCGACGAUCUGUAGCGGGUCUGAGAGGAUGAUCCGCCACACUGGGACUGAGACACGGCCCAGACUCCUGCGGGAGGCAGCAGUGGGGAAUAUUGGACAAUGGGGGGAACCCUGAUCCAGCCAUGCCGCGUGUGUGAAGAAGGCCUUAUGGUUGUAAAGCACUUUAAGCGAGGAGGAGGCUUACCUAGUUAAUACCUGGGAUAAGUGGACGUUACUCGCAGAAUAAGCACCGGCUAACUCUGUGCCAGCCGCCGCAGUAA